Molecule: long non-coding RNA, 436 nt
Organism: Trematomus bernacchii (emerald rockcod)
Lineage: Eukaryota; Metazoa; Chordata; Actinopteri; Perciformes; Nototheniidae
Exons: 2
Source: RefSeq, a predicted model, not a curated record
GGUCCUGAUGAGGUGAAAAGGCAGGAUUCCAAAGUUGAAAAUUCUGACACAUACCAUAUGUACUGCACCAUCCCUGAGGAGUCAGCUGCUUCAGACCUGAUGAUGGGUAAAAUGUACAGCACGGUGCAGCCACACUCAAACCAUGUGUUUGAAGUAAACUUUUAUAAUCCAAACUAAUGUUAGACAACUGAAAUGUAUUUCUCUCAUCAACCAAACUGAGAUUAAAAAAAGAUUUAGCCAAACUUUUACCUAAAGCAGAAGUUGACUCUUUCUAGUUUGUAAAUGUGUUUCUGUUUAAUGUUGUGUAUGCAGUUUUACAUUUAUUAACACAAGUUGAAAAAAGGGAAAACCCUAAUAUAUACUGUAUAUCUAUUAAAUCGGAUGUAACUUGUAUAGUAACUCUGUGACUAUGCCCUAUAAAUGUAUUUAUACUGCU